UUUAUUUGUAUACUAUGAAUAGAAAAUGUAGAUAAGGAUUAGACAACAUUUAUGCAUUUUUUUAUUUUUUUUUCUCUUCCAAAUUUUAUAUAUUUUUGUGUUAGAGUGAGUAAAGUAUUUCACAAUUUAAAUUGUUGUUUAAUUCAUUCAAAACUGUUUGAUAAUGUUAUAACACGUUCUCUUUACUUUCUACUACGCUUGUGUUUUGAAAGGAGAAUGAUUAAAAAUCCAAUAGAAUCUCACUAUUUGGAUCAUAAGUAAGUGUCAAUUUUCAUUAGAAAAAAAUAAAACCAUCCUCAUCAAAUCCUAUAUUACAAAUUUUAUCGGUUUCAAAUUUAUGAAUAUUUAAG
RNAcentral lists this long non-coding RNA (350 nucleotides) under Lathyrus oleraceus (garden pea). RNAcentral's name for it is "Pisum sativum (pea) long non-coding RNA (PSAT_LNC011624)". The record is from RNAcentral. Lineage: Eukaryota; Viridiplantae; Streptophyta; Magnoliopsida; Fabales; Fabaceae.